Long non-coding RNA from Lactuca sativa (garden lettuce), 1400 nucleotides. RefSeq lists it as uncharacterized. The record is from RefSeq and is a predicted model, not a curated record. Lineage: Eukaryota; Viridiplantae; Streptophyta; Magnoliopsida; Asterales; Asteraceae.
UCUCUCUCUCUCUCUCUCUCUCUCUCUCUCUCUCUCUCUUCUUUGUAGUAACACAACCGCUGCCCUACCGAAAGCCUUCUUCAAAAAAACCAUAAACCACCUCAAUCCAAUGGGUUAGGCUAUAAAGCAUCUCAAAUGGAGAGAUAAUGAGGGCUACAGAUCCGGCCCACGAUCCCUAGCCGUCUUUGCUUGCAGAGGUGUAGUUAAAAAGUUCCGUUAUCUAUUCUUCGACUUCAUAUUCUUUGUAGCAAUUAACUUCUUACCAAUUGCCUCAUCUCCUUUUCCCAGCAAGAAUCUAUAAGGUUUUGAUUUGGUUUUGGCUAGACUGCUGGAGUGGUUGAUGGUGGUUGCCAAAGUGGGCUAACAGUAGUAGUAGUAGUUGGAGGUAAAGGGGUCCGACAUUGACAUUGGUCAUCAAUAGUCACGGAGGCUUUCAACACUUGGGGCAUUUAAUUUAACAAAUAUAUAGGAAAUAAAUUAAUUAAAAAUACAUUAGUAAUUAAGAAAAAAAUAAUAUUUUUAGGUAUGUCAGGAUAAAAACAAAACUGAAAAAAAAUAAAAAAAAAAAUAAUAAUAAUUAUAAGGACCUUCCUUGUUAAAAAGAUAGAUAAUAACAAAACAGACAAACUUAUACAACUAUAGGGACUAUUCGGAUAAUUUCUCUUAAAACAAUAGAAUAAAAGGCAACCCAAAGUUGGCAGGUGAAGCGCCGAAUAUACUAUUGUCAAACAAAACAAUGGCGGCCAUGUCACCCGGGGCAAACCAGGGUUGGACAACGGCGAAGAAGACGCCGCCCCUCUAUAGCCACCGGAGACCGGCGAUUGUUCUUGGAUAAUCCGAUUCUUCGACAUGGCGGAAAAUGGAGGCGGAUGUUCUUGGUUUGUUGAUAUGCAGAGGGUGACAGGUUGUCGGUGGACGGUUGGUUUCAAAUCCAACCUCCUUUUGGUAUAAGCCAAUAAGGCGCCAUCCCAUCAGGAAUUUGGCUCUCUGGAACUGCAAUCGAAGAUGCCACAUUGACACACUCAAAAAGUUCUCCAGAUCUAUGCUGACGUGGUUCAUGGAAUGAACAGAUGAUAAGAAAUUCAAAUCUUUCGCAUGCCUACAAUAACUGUAUAAGGCCUAGGGGUGUCAAUUUAUGACACGACACGACAAAAAUACACGACACGAAACGAAAUCGGGACGAAAUCAAAAUUCGAAUUCGUUUUCGUGUCGUGUUCGUGUCAAGUUUAUAAAACACGAUGUCGUGUCGUGUCGUGUUCGUGUUUACAAAUCCACACGAAAUUGACACGAUUGAGCAUGUAUUUGUCGUAUUUUCGUGUUUGUCGUUUUUAUCGUGUUAUAUAUGAUUAAAUAUGAAUUAAAAAAAAUAAUAGUUAUGUAAUAUUAUCUUUGUUGUGUCG